CUGAAAUGAAGUAUUUAGUUUUAUGCGCAGUGC
RNAcentral lists this small RNA (33 nucleotides) under Bombyx mori (domestic silkworm). Its description in RNAcentral is "ovarian small RNA-14823". The record is from RNAcentral. Lineage: Eukaryota; Metazoa; Arthropoda; Insecta; Lepidoptera; Bombycidae.